UACGUAGGGUCCGAGCGUUGUCCGGAUUUAUUGGGCGUAAAGAGCUCGUAGGCGGCUCGGUAAGUCGGAUGUGAAAACUCGGGGCUCAACCCCGAGACGCCAUCCGAUACUGCUGUGGCUUGAGUCUGGUAGGGGAGAACGGAAUUCCUGGUGUAGCGGUAAAAUGCGCAGAUAUCAGGAGGAACACCGGUGGCGAAGGCGGUUCUCUGGGCCAGUACUGACGCUGAGGAGCGAAAGCGUGGGGAGCAAACAGG
RNAcentral lists this ribosomal RNA (254 nucleotides) under uncultured bacterium. Its description in RNAcentral is "partial 16S ribosomal RNA". It matches the Rfam family "Bacterial small subunit ribosomal RNA", at positions 524 to 776 of the family's 1533-position model. The record is from RNAcentral.